Molecule: transfer RNA, 73 nt
Organism: Ipomoea nil (Japanese morning glory)
Lineage: Eukaryota; Viridiplantae; Streptophyta; Magnoliopsida; Solanales; Convolvulaceae
Rfam family: tRNA
About the family: Transfer RNA (tRNA) molecules are approximately 80 nucleotides in length. Their secondary structure includes four short double-helical elements and three loops (D, anti-codon, and T loops).
Source: Rfam
UGGGAUGUAGCUCAUAUGGUAGAGCGCUCGCUUCGCAUGCGAGAGGUACGGGUAUCAAUAACCCGCAUCUCCA